CAGUAGCCGCGGUAACACGAAGGGUGCAAGCGUUAAUCGGAAUUACUGGGCGUAAAGCGUGCGUAGGCGGUUUGUUAAGUCUGCUGUGAAAUCCCCGGGCUCAACCUGGGAAUGGCAGUGGAUACUGGCAAGCUAGAGUGUGUCAGAGGAUGGUGGAAUUCCCGGUGUAGCGGUGAAAUGCGUAGAGAUCGGGAGGAACAUCAGUGGCGAAGGCGGCCAUCUGGGACAACACUGACGCUGAGGCACGAAAGCGUGGGGAGCAAACAGGAUUAGAUACCCCGGUAGUCCCUGUCUCUUAUAC
This 301-nucleotide ribosomal RNA is filed under the name uncultured bacterium. RNAcentral describes it as "partial 16S ribosomal RNA". It matches the Rfam family "Bacterial small subunit ribosomal RNA", at positions 509 to 807 of the family's 1533-position model. The record is from RNAcentral.